AGGAGCUCAUGGUGGCUUUGCGACUGCGAUGCCGCAGGGCUGGGGAUGCAGCUGGACCAGGAGCAUGCACCCGGUCUGUCCGUCUGUGCACGGUGGUCUGAUCCAGCCUGAGUCCAUAGCCCAGGUGUAAGAGAGGUUCUUCCCACUGCAUCCCGGUUGGAGUCUCCAAGGGAAAAUAUUAUUCAUAGGUUUUAAGGCCAGGAGGGGAUAUUCUGCUCCGCUCUGACCUCCAUUAUAACACAGGCCAGGGGAUUUCACGGAGCAAUUCCUGCAGCAGGGACAAAGGGAAGCGAAUGGCUGCUGUGUUGUUAGGCCUCGUGAGAGAUGUAAAAACACUGUGAUUUCUGCUAGGGGAUGCCACAGAGAAGGAGGACCUGUGAGGCAGAAAAGCCCCAGCACUGUAUGGAGUCCAUCAGGGCAGCCUGAGGGGCUGAGAGUGAUCCAGGAGGUUCUACACUUGCCCAAGGCUGGUGGAGAGCCAUGGGAAAUCACCAUAAUGGAUUACCACCUCAUCAAACACUGAGAAACAGGAGGUGGAUUGCCCUUUGCUCCAUAGUGUGAGGUGCAUUUCCCAAGAGGACAAGAGCCGUGAUUAAAAGAACACAGGAGAAUUGCGAGGAAGACACCUUGUCCUCUGGAAGUCGGUGUCUUUUCCAAUGGAGUUGAAAUAAAUGCAGUAAACUUCCUGGAAGUGGCUGGCUAACAGCAUUGGCUCUGUGGGAAGCAACCUCAGUUCCUGAGCACACCACCAUGAUGUACUUCUAAGACACUGUUUGCUUCUCAUUACCUCUCAUCUUCAGGUCUUUUGCAUGGAAAAUCUUAAUUAACUACACUCCAGUAUCUACCAGCCCAAUGUGGAUGACUGAUACGAGCAACAGGGACCCAGAGGUAGAGGGCACUGAAGACUGGGAGGAUAUCUGUGCUGAGAAGGAAAAGAAUAGAAAAUGCCAUGGAGAAAGAAAUAAGCUACAGAUAAAGGUGACUCCCCAGAAGUGACAGAAUCAAAGACAACAUUUUAGAGCCAGCCAGAGAGGACUUUUUUCACUAGUAUCAUAGAAGGGUGAGGGCAAGUGAUAAGUAGGUAAA
Long non-coding RNA from Cygnus olor (mute swan), 1086 nucleotides. RefSeq lists it as uncharacterized. The record is from RefSeq and is a predicted model, not a curated record. NCBI's taxonomy places the organism in Eukaryota, Metazoa, Chordata, Aves, Anseriformes, Anatidae. The transcript is spliced from 3 exons.